This 253-nucleotide ribosomal RNA is filed under the name uncultured bacterium. RNAcentral describes it as "partial 16S ribosomal RNA". It matches the Rfam family "Bacterial small subunit ribosomal RNA", at positions 524 to 776 of the family's 1533-position model. The record is from RNAcentral.
UACAGAGGUCCCGAGCGUUGUUCGGAUUCAUUGGGCGUAAAGGGUGUGUAGGAGGUCUUGUAAGUCGGGCGUGAAAUCUCACCGCUUAACGGUGAAACUGCGUUCGAUACUGCUUGGCUAGAGGAUCGGAGGGGGUAUCGGAAUUCAUGGUGUAGCAGUGAAAUGCGUAGAUAUCUGGAGGAACACCGGUGGCGAAGGCGACAUCCUGGACCGGUAUUGACGCUGAGGCGCGAAAGCCAGGGGAGCAAACGGG